This 85-nucleotide ribozyme is filed under the name Crocodylus porosus (Australian saltwater crocodile). RNAcentral's name for it is "Mammalian CPEB3 ribozyme (ENSCPRG00005010289.1)". It matches the Rfam family "Mammalian CPEB3 ribozyme". From Rfam's summary of the family: The mammalian CPEB3 ribozyme is a self cleaving RNA located in the second intron of the CPEB3 gene which belongs to a family of genes regulating messenger RNA polyadenylation. This ribozyme is highly conserved and found only in mammals. Lineage: Eukaryota; Metazoa; Chordata; Crocodylia; Crocodylidae. The record is from Rfam by way of RNAcentral.
AGUUGCAACUUCAGGGCCAUAGCAGAAGCACUCAUGGUGCAGCCUGUCAGUUUCCAACAAAUCUGCUAAAACUGCAAAUUCUGCU